Molecule: transfer RNA, 71 nt
Filed under: Jimgerdemannia flammicorona
Lineage: Eukaryota; Fungi; Mucoromycota; Endogonomycetes; Endogonales; Endogonaceae
Description: Endogone flammicorona tRNA
Rfam family: tRNA
About the family: Transfer RNA (tRNA) molecules are approximately 80 nucleotides in length. Their secondary structure includes four short double-helical elements and three loops (D, anti-codon, and T loops).
Source: Rfam by way of RNAcentral
CCGGCUUUAGCUCAGUUGGUAGAACAGAAGACUGUAGCGUUAGGUCGCUAAUUCGAAUCUGGCAAGCCGGA